CCUACGGGUGGCAGCAGUGGGGAAUAUUGGACAAUGGGGGGAACCCUGAUCCAGCCAUGCCGCGUGUGUGAAGAAGGCCCUCGGGUUGUAAAGCACUUUCAGUGAGGAAGAACGCCUGGUGGUUAAUACCCAUCAGGAAAGACAUCACUCACAGAAGAAGCACCGGCUAACUCCGUGCCAGCAGCCGCGGUAAUACGGAGGGUGCGAGCGUUAAUCGGAAUUACUGGGCGUAAAGCGCGCGUAGGUGGCUUGAUAAGCCGGUUGUGAAAGCCCCGGGCUCAACCUGGGAACGGCAUCCGGAACUGUCAAGCUAGAGUGCAGGAGAGGAAGGUAGAAUUCCCGGUGUAGCAGUGAAAUGCGUAGAGAUCGGGAGGAAUACCAGUGGCGAAGGCGGCCUUCUGGACUGACACUGACACUGAGGUGCGAAAGCGUGGGUAGCAAACAGGAUUAGAUACCCCUGUAGUC
RNAcentral lists this ribosomal RNA (465 nucleotides) under Vreelandella stevensii. Its description in RNAcentral is "partial 16S ribosomal RNA". It matches the Rfam family "Bacterial small subunit ribosomal RNA", at positions 338 to 795 of the family's 1533-position model. The record is from RNAcentral. Lineage: Bacteria; Pseudomonadati; Pseudomonadota; Gammaproteobacteria; Oceanospirillales; Halomonadaceae.